UACGUAGGGUGCAAGCGUUAAUCGGAAUUACUGGGCGUAAAGCGUGCGCAGGCGGUUAUGUAAGACAGAGGUGAAAUCCCCGGGCUCAACCUGGGAACUGCCUUUGUGACUGCAUAGCUAGAGUACGGCAGAGGGGGGAGUGGAAUUCCGCGUGUAGCAGUGAAAUGCGUAGAUAUUUGGAGGAACACCGAUGGCGAAGGCAGCCCCCUGGGCUAACACUGACGCUCAUGCACGAAAGCGU
RNAcentral lists this ribosomal RNA (241 nucleotides) under uncultured bacterium. RNAcentral's name for it is "partial 16S ribosomal RNA". It matches the Rfam family "Bacterial small subunit ribosomal RNA", at positions 524 to 762 of the family's 1533-position model. The record is from RNAcentral.